Molecule: long non-coding RNA, 939 nt
Filed under: Fukomys damarensis (Damara mole-rat)
Lineage: Eukaryota; Metazoa; Chordata; Mammalia; Rodentia; Bathyergidae
Description: lncRNA (ENSFDAG00000025440.1)
Source: RNAcentral
GUACAAGAAGAGAACUUCCCUUGUAACUGUGAAGUCCUCCUUUAGUCCUGAAAGGGUGAAAGGAAGAUGAGGCCUUACAGAGCCAUGUUGGAAAGCACCAGGAUAUGCUGGCCAUGGGACAUCGAUGGAAUGGGUGCGCUCUGAGAUGCUCUCCUAUCCCACACACAAGCGCAAGACCCACCCUGGAUCCGGAGACUGCCGCUCCCGCCCAGGUUGGGCCUCUCCUGGAAGGCAGGGCUGGUGCUGCUGUUAACCCAGCGGGUUGGCGGUUGCAGCAGGGUGUGCAGCCUGGCUCUGCCCGAAGUGGGUAUUUGGGGCCGUUAGAGAGUGCGCGGCCUCUUCCUCUGGUGCCGGGUGUCCCGCGGCGCCCCGUGGGAAAUUCACAGCUCCAUUUCUCCCGCGGCAUCAAAUCCCUCGUCUUGAGUUUAUGCAGCGGGCCAGCUCCUGCCUCCUCCAACUCAAUGGCCCUAGGCCGAGUGGGCGGGUGGCAUGGAAGCCGGUUGGGAGCAGGGCGGAGAAUUUGCUGUCUCUUAAAGAUGCUCUGGGAACCUGGCUCUGGAGCGCCGGAUUUUCAGGAAGAACUGAGCUCGGGUCCGCUGUCAAAGGAAAGCAGCGUUCUGCGUGGCAGUGGAAGCCUCAAAUCCUCCAGUAUAAUAAAGCGAGGCGCGCAGACCUGCCCGGCAGCUCCGGGAACUGGCGGGCCCUGGCGCGGGCUCCAUCCCUGCUCGGCCGCCGGGGCUCCAGGGGCGCAGCUACGCACCUGGGCCAGGAGCGGACCCCGAUAUGAUGAUCGGUCCCAGAUAUGUGGGGUCAGACCCCGCGGUGGGGCGUCGGUGCCCGAUAUGGGGGGUCGGUCCCGCAGUGGGGUGAUGGGUCCCGUAGUGGGGUGAUCGGGUCCCCUAUAUGGGGGUCAGUCCCGGAGUGGGGUGAUGGGUCCCG